Molecule: ribosomal RNA, 415 nt
Filed under: uncultured prokaryote
Description: bacterial SSU rRNA
Rfam family: Bacterial small subunit ribosomal RNA
Source: RNAcentral
GUGUCAGCAGCCGCGGUAAUACGUAGGAGACGAGCGUUAUCCGGAUUUACUGGGCGUAAAGAGGGCGUAGGCGGUCUUUCAAGUCGGAUGUGACAUCUCCCGGCUUAACCGGGAGGGGUCAUUCGAUACUGUUGGGCUAGAGGGCAGCAGAGGGAGGUGGAAUUCCCGGUGUAGUGGUGAAAUGCGUAGAUAUCGGGAGGAACACCAGUGGCGAAGGCGGCCUCCUGGGCUGUUUCUGACGCUGAGGCCCAAAAGCGUGGGGAGCGAACAGGAUUAGAUACCCUGGUAGUCCACGCUGUAAACUAUGGACACUAGGUAUGGGGAGUAUCGACCCUUUCCGUGCCGAAGCUAACGCUUUAAGUGUCCCGCCUGGGGACUACGGCCGCAAGGCUAAAACUUAAAUGAAUUGGCGGGG